CGGGACUAUCUCGGAAGAAGUUUUCGGAUGGAUUUUGGGGUAGCCUAUUGGCGGACGGGUGAGUAACACGUGAGCAACCUGCCUUUGAGAGGGGAAUAACGGCUGGAAACGGUCGCUAAUACCGCAUAACGUACGGAUGGGACAUCCUGUCUGUACCAAAGAUUUAUCGCUCGAAGAUGGGCUCGCGUCCGAUUAGGUAGUUGGUGAGGUAACGGCCCACCAAGCCGACGAUCGGUAGCCGGACUGAGAGGUUGAACGGCCACAUUGGGACUGAGACACGGCCCAGACUCCUACGGGAGGCAGCAGUGGGGGAUAUUGCACAAUGGGGGAAACCCUGAUGCAGCGACGCCGCGUGUGGGAAGACGGUCUUCUGGAUUGUAAACCACUGUCCCCAGGGACGAAAAUGACGGUACCUGGGGAGGAAGCUCCGGCUAACUACGUGCCAGCAGCCGCGGUAUACGUAGGGAGCAAGCGUUGUCCGGAAUUACUGGGUGUAAAGGGAGCGUAGGCGGGGAUGCAAGUUGGGUGUCAAAACUACCGGCUCAACCGAUAGUCGCACUCAAAACUGCAGCUCUUGAGUGAAGUAGAGGCAGGCGGAAUUCCUAGUGUAGCGGUGAAAUGCGUAGAUAUUAGGAGGAACACCUGUGGCGAAGGCGGCCUGCUGGGCUUUUACUGACGCUGAGGCUCGAAAGUGUGGGGAGCAAACAGGAUUAGAUACCCUGGUAGUCCACACCGUAAACGAUGAUUACUAGGUGUGGGGGGUCUGACCCCCUCCGUGCCGGAGCAAACGCAAUAAGUAAUCCACCUGG
RNAcentral lists this ribosomal RNA (809 nucleotides) under uncultured bacterium. RNAcentral's name for it is "bacterial SSU rRNA". It matches the Rfam family "Bacterial small subunit ribosomal RNA", at positions 54 to 876 of the family's 1533-position model. The record is from RNAcentral.